UGAAAAAAAAAACGUUUCAUAUGAUUGUUGCCCCGCACGAGAAGACGAGGGUUCCUCUGCCGCCGCCGCCGCGCCCACAUCUUCUUAUCCCCGGUGCUCGUCCUCUCCCCGCCGUCGCCGAAUCCGGAUGAGAUCGGCAGGAUCGGCUGCAUCUCGCGCGACGCCCGGCCACUGUGCUCGGGGAGAAGGGAGAAAGUAGGAGCGGUGCUGCGACCUAGGCAGCAACUCGCCAAGCCGGGCGGUGGCAAACGAGAGCCUCAGCGGUUGGCCGUCGAAGCAGAGGAAGAGAGGAGCUCCAGCCGGAUGCGAGCGGAGGACACCGAUGGCUCUCGGCGGCCAUCGACGGGAACUUGAAUGCCCCAGCCCCCAAAGCUCGCCUCAUCUUCUACCGGCAACAGGGGACGGCUUCCCUCCUGGCACCCGUAGGCAGCCUCGGCUCACCGCCGUCGGGAUCUGGCCAACACCGGCUCCUAGCGUUGCAUCCAUCAGUCCCGGAUCUCGCCACUGCAGGAUGCGGGGAAGAGGAUGAGGUACGGCAUGCAACAACGAAAGAAGGUGCAGAGCCAGCGACUGGAUUUUUUUUGGUUAAAGAAGGUACAGGGCAACGACUGUAUUUAGAUCAUAAUAGGAUCGGUUCGCAUUGGUGGCGCAGUAGUGCUGCGUAGGCAGCUGCUACCAAUCUUCACCAUGCUGGAUGAAGCCGUCAAGGUGAGAUGAUCGAUUUCUUGUUGUCCACUGUCCCCUAUUUAAGAUUACUGACCUGGUUCCUCUUAUUUCUCUUGUUGAUGCAAACCUGCUCACUUCACAAGCCGCGCUCACAACUUCCAACGUAGAUUUCGUGGCUGGCAUGCUUAUCUUAUUUUCCUUUCUGGAUCAGGGAACAAAUUGCUCGAUCAUAAUAGUUUGUUCUUCUUUCUGUUCCAGGAAAGCACCGGAAAGAGAUGUUUCUAUGCAGCAUAACCCAAAAGUUUAAUUUGAGGAAUUCCAUCAAGCGUAUGUUCUAUAGCCUCCAUCCUGUAGUUUAUUUCCUUUGUUUCAGGUUGUACAGAGGAGCUCAGCGACAACUGAGGUGCUGCUAGAAUUACAUCAGCUACUAACUUACGUUAAUUUAAUCAAUUCCAUUGGCGUACUUUAGGAACGAGGCUGUAUUGGGUGGUCUCUGACCGCCUGACAGACAAUACAGAGUCGCCGUAGUUGGGUUGUGUUCAUGUAACACUGAAACUUGACAUAGUUAGUAUAAGAAGGUUUGGUUUACUUCCACUAUGUUACUGUUCAAUCUAUUUUAUAAACAUGUUGAUUAGCCAUUCUGGCAAAGAUGCAUCUUCAAUAUUUCAGAAAUCUCUUUUC
Triticum aestivum (bread wheat) is the source of this 1347-nucleotide long non-coding RNA. RefSeq lists it as uncharacterized. The transcript has 2 exons. The record is from RefSeq and is a predicted model, not a curated record. NCBI's taxonomy places the organism in Eukaryota, Viridiplantae, Streptophyta, Magnoliopsida, Poales, Poaceae.